This 3030-nucleotide ribosomal RNA is filed under the name biogas fermenter metagenome. RNAcentral describes it as "bacterial LSU rRNA". It matches the Rfam family "Bacterial large subunit ribosomal RNA". The record is from RNAcentral.
AGGGCAAAUGGUGGAUGCCUUGGGACUAGACGCGAUGAAGGACGUGGCGUAGCUGCGAUAAGCUUCGGUAAGGUGUGUAGCAACCUGUGACCCGGAGAUCUCCUAAUGGGAAAACCCAAUCUUGGUUAUACAAGAUUAUCUUUUUGCGAAAGCUUAAAGAAGCAAACCUGGUGAAGUGAAACAUCUCAGUAGCCAGAGGAAAAGAGAACAAUAGUGAUUCCCUUAGUAGCGGCGAGCGAAGAGGGAAAAGCCCAAAACCAUAUUUAUAUGGUGGUUGUAGGGAGAUAACGUCUUUUAGUAGAGGAAGUUUAAAAGUUAAGUUAAUUAAUUGAAGUUUCUGGAAAGAAACGCCAUAGAAGGUGAUAGCCCUGUAAGUGAAAAUUAAUUUACACUUCUUGUUAUCUUUCCUGAGUACCGUCGGAUCAAGAAAAGUCGGCGGGAAUCCAGCAGGACUACCUGCUAAGGCUAAAUACAAUCUAGUCACCGAUAGUGAACCAGUACCGUGAGGGAAAGGUGAAAAGCAGUCCGAUAAGGACGGUGAAAUAGAACCUGAAACCAUUAUGCCUACAAGGAGUCAGAGCUAUUUUUUAAAUAGUGAUGGCGUGCUUUUUGCAGAACGAGCCAACGAGUUUUUCUUGUCAAUUGUCUAAGUGCUUAUGGCACGUAAGCUUAGGGAAACCAAGUCUUAACAGGGCGAUUAAAAAUUGGCAGGAAAAGACCCGAAGCCAGACGAGCUUACCAUGACCAGGAUGAAACUUGCAGAAAUGCAAGCGGAGGUCCGAACCCGUAGGUCGUGCAAUUCCUUGGGAUGAGUUGUGGUAAGGAGUGAAAAGCUAAUCGAGUUUGGUAAUAGCUGGUUCUUCCCGAAAUAGUUUUAGGACUAGCCUCUCUGCUCAGUAUUUUGGAGGUAGAGCACUGAAAGGGAUGCUGCGGCUUCGGCUAGGCAUUUCUAUCAAACUCCGAAUGCCAAAAUAUAUACAGAGGGAGUCAGACAGUGGGAGCGAAGUUCCAUUGUCGCGAGGGAAACAGCCCAGAUCGUCAUCUAAGGUCCCUAAAUCUAAACUAAGUGUUAGUAAGGAGGUGAAAUUUCUCAGAUAGCUAGGAGGUUAGCUUAGAAGCAGCUAUCCUUUAAAAAGUGCGUAACAGCUUACUAGUUAAGAGAUUUUGCGCCGAAGAUUCCCGGGACUAAAGUUUAGUACCGAAGAUACGACUUGGUAUUUUUAAUACCAGGGGUAGGGAAGCGUCCUUAUUGCGCUGAAGCUGAACCGUGAGGUUCUGUGGAGCGAUGAGGAGUGAGAAUGUUGGCAUAAGUAACCACAAUUGAAGUGAGAUUCUUCAACACCGUAAAUCCAAGGUUUCCUUGGCAAUGUAGAUCAACCAAGGGUUAGGCGGGCCUUAGGAGAAGCCGAAAGGUUUAUCUGAUGGACAGCCGGUUAAUAUUCCGGCCCUCUAACAUUUUUCUGAAGGGUGACGCGAUUUAGUAGCUUAGGCGGAUUAUUGGAUUUCCGUCGAUCAUUUGAGGGGCAACCCAAGAAUGGGCGCGAAGGUUGUCUUCGGACAAUUUAAGCUAAGUGAGCAAGUCGACAAGAAAAGCCCGCAAGGCUAAGAAUGUUGGAUCCGUACUAAAACCGACACAGGUGGAUGGGCACAAGUGUGCCAAGGUGAACAAGUGAAAGAUCCUGAAGGAACUCGGCAAAAAAGUGAUCGUAACUUAGGAAUAAGAUCUGCCUUUCUUUGCAAGAAGAAAGGCCGCAGCAAGCGUUUCUCUAGCGACUGUUUAUCAAAAACACAGGUCCCUGCUAAUUCGUAAGAGGAAGUAUAGGGGCUGAGGCCUGACCAGUGCCGGAGUGUUAAAAGUGGCGGUUGCUCCGCUCUUGUUUCAUGAGACGAUCCUGAGUUCUUGUAAGUAGUUUGAUUAGUUAAGAUAGUAAUAAUUUAAUGUGUCUUUUUUUUAAAAUAGGUAAGACAUAUUGCGAUAUUAAGGAACUCAGAGAUUGUGUUCGUGGACCGAGAGCGGAGCAGCUGACUGCUCCAAGCCUCCGGUGAACGUCCGCGGUAACUCUGACCGUGUUAAAGUAGCGUAAUCCCUUGUCGGGUAAGUUCCGACCCGCAUGAAAGGCUUAACGACUUGAGAACUGUCUCCAGGAGUUGCUUGGUGAAAUUGCAGUGGAGGUGAAAAUGCCUCCUACCUGUGGCUAGACGAGAAGACCCCAGGAGCUUUACUAUACCCUGGUAUUGAAUUAUGGCUUUAAAUGCGUAGAAUAGGUGGGAGACUAUGAUGUCAUGCUUUCGGGCGUGACGGAGUCGCCAGUGAAAUACCACUCUUUUAUUGUCAUGGUUCUAACCUCCAUGCUUUAUUUAGAGCAUGGGGAGACAGUGCUUGGUUGGUAGUUUAAGUGGGGCGCUUUCCUCCUAAAAAGUAGCGGAGGAGUUUAAAGGUUGGCUAGAUCCGGAUGGAAAUCGGAUUGGUCCUACAAAGGGAUAAGCCAGCUUAACUGCAAGGCGGAUAUGCUGCGCAGAUGGGAAACCAGAACUUAGUGAACCGACCUUGGUUCGUAGGACCGAGGGAGAUCAUCAAAUAAAAGCUACCCUGGGGAUAACAGGCUGGUAGUGUCCAAGAGUCCAUAUCAACGACACUGUUCGGCACCUCGAUGUCGGCUCAUCACAUCCUGGGGCUGUAGAAGGUCCCAAGGGUUUGGCUGUUCGCCAAUUAAAGUGGUUCGCGAGCUGGGUUCAGACCGUCGUAAGACAGGUUGGUUUCUAUCUACCACAGGCGCCGAGUCUUGAGAAGAGUUGCCCCUUGUACGAGAGGAUCGGGGUGAACCAAUCUCUGGUGUACCAGCUGUCAUGCCAAUGGCACUGCUGGGUAGCUAUAAUUGGGAAAGGAUAAGAGCUGAAAGCAUCUAAGCUCGAAGCCUACUUCAAGAUUAGGACUCAUACUCAGGUUAGAGACUAUGACCUUGAUAGGGUGCAGGUGUAAGUUCUGUGAAGAAUUGAGCCGAGCACUACUAAUUGAGACUUGAAAUAAGU